This 1518-nucleotide ribosomal RNA is filed under the name Klebsiella pneumoniae. Its description in RNAcentral is "bacterial LSU rRNA". It matches the Rfam family "Bacterial large subunit ribosomal RNA", at positions 1428 to 2925 of the family's 2925-position model. The record is from RNAcentral. Lineage: Bacteria; Pseudomonadati; Pseudomonadota; Gammaproteobacteria; Enterobacterales; Enterobacteriaceae.
GGUUAAUAUUCCUGUACUUGGUGUUACUGCGAAGGGGGGACGGAGAAGGCUAUGUUAGCCGGGCGACGGUUGUCCCGGUUUAAGCAUGUAGGCUGAUUGUCCAGGCAAAUCCGGAUAAUCAAGGCUGAGGUGUGAUGACGAGGCACUACGGUGCUGAAGUAACAAAUGCCCUGCUUCCAGGAAAAGCCUCUAAGCAUCAGGUAACAUCAAAUCGUACCCCAAACCGACACAGGUGGUCAGGUAGAGAAUACCAAGGCGCUUGAGAGAACUCGGGUGAAGGAACUAGGCAAAAUGGUGCCGUAACUUCGGGAGAAGGCACGCUGGUGUGUAGGUGAAGCCCCUGCGGGUGGAGCUGAGACCAGUCGAAGAUACCAGCUGGCUGCAACUGUUUAUUAAAAACACAGCACUGUGCAAACACGAAAGUGGACGUAUACGGUGUGACGCCUGCCCGGUGCCGGAAGGUUAAUUGAUGGGGUUAUCCGUAAGGAGAAGCUCUUGAUCGAAGCCCCGGUAAACGGCGGCCGUAACUAUAACGGUCCUAAGGUAGCGAAAUUCCUUGUCGGGUAAGUUCCGACCUGCACGAAUGGCGUAAUGAUGGCCAGGCUGUCUCCACCCGAGACUCAGUGAAAUUGAACUCGCUGUGAAGAUGCAGUGUACCCGCGGCAAGACGGAAAGACCCCGUGAACCUUUACUAUAGCUUGACACUGAACAUUGAGCCUUGAUGUGUAGGAUAGGUGGGAGGCUUUGAAGCGUGGACGCCAGUCUGCGUGGAGCCAACCUUGAAAUACCACCCUUUAAUGUUUGAUGUUCUAACGUUGGCCCCUUACCGGGGUUGCGGACAGUGUCUGGUGGGUAGUUUGACUGGGGCGGUCUCCUCCCAAAGCGUAACGGAGGAGCACGAAGGUUAGCUAAUCCUGGUCGGACAUCAGGAGGUUAGUGCAAUGGCAUAAGCUAGCUUGACUGCGAGCGUGACGGCGCGAGCAGGUGCGAAAGCAGGUCAUAGUGAUCCGGUGGUUCUGAAUGGAAGGGCCAUCGCUCAACGGAUAAAAGGUACUCCGGGGAUAACAGGCUGAUACCGCCCAAGAGUUCAUAUCGACGGCGGUGUUUGGCACCUCGAUGUCGGCUCAUCACAUCCUGGGGCUGAAGUAGGUCCCAAGGGUAUGGCUGUUCGCCAUUUAAAGUGGUACGCGAGCUGGGUUUAGAACGUCGUGAGACAGUUCGGUCCCUAUCUGCCGUGGGCGCUGGAGAAUUGAGGGGGGCUGCUCCUAGUACGAGAGGACCGGAGUGGACGCAUCACUGGUGUUCGGGUUGUCAUGCCAAUGGCACUGCCCGGUAGCUAAAUGCGGAAGAGAUAAGUGCUGAAAGCAUCUAAGCACGAAACUUGCCCCGAGAUGAGUUCUCCCUGAGACUAUAAGUCUCCUGAAGGAACGUUGAAGACGACGACGUUGAUAGGCCGGGUGUGUAAGCGCAGCGAUGCGUUGAGCUAACCGGUACUAAUGAACCGUGAGGCUUAACCUU